This is a non-coding RNA of Picea glauca (white spruce), 121 nucleotides long. The record is from Rfam. NCBI's taxonomy places the organism in Eukaryota, Viridiplantae, Streptophyta, Pinopsida, Pinales, Pinaceae.
ACAUGCCUACAACAUAUAAUUAAUGCAAUGGAUCCCAUUAGAACUCCACAGUUAAUAAUGCUCAUGAUAGAUUAGUAUUGGUAUGGGUGACUUCCCGAGAAGUCCUAGUGGUUUACAUGCC